GCUCUUUUGGUGUAAUUGGUAGCACAUCCAUCUAGCAAUCGGAAGAUGCGGAGUUCGAAUCUCGGUUAGAGCA
Molecule: transfer RNA, 73 nt
Filed under: Stegodyphus mimosarum
Lineage: Eukaryota; Metazoa; Arthropoda; Arachnida; Araneae; Eresidae
Rfam family: tRNA
About the family: Transfer RNA (tRNA) molecules are approximately 80 nucleotides in length. Their secondary structure includes four short double-helical elements and three loops (D, anti-codon, and T loops). Further hydrogen bonds mediate the characteristic L-shaped molecular structure. tRNAs have two regions of fundamental functional importance: the anti-codon, which is responsible for specific mRNA codon recognition, and the 3' end, to which the tRNAs corresponding amino acid is attached (by aminoacyl-tRNA synthetases). tRNAs cope with the degeneracy of the genetic code in two manners: having more than one tRNA (with a specific anti-codon) for a particular amino acid; and 'wobble' base-pairing, i.e. permitting non-standard base-pairing at the 3rd anti-codon position.
Source: Rfam by way of RNAcentral